UUCUUAUGACAUAUUCAUCUUAUAUAUCUUCUGAUAUUUCUGAUUUUUAAGCUGUUGUACUUUCUCCUUUAAUUUGCCACAUAAAUCUAUGAGAUCUGGCAACACAGGAAAGAAAACACGGUCUGAUGCAAGUUGUCUGAUAAUCAGACGGGGCUUGAACAGUUUAGUCGGACCUUUCAACAAAAAAAAGUAAAUGUAUUCAAUAUCAAAACUGGAACGAGGAAGUUGGUUUGUGAGGUGUGAAAAGUGUUUGUGAACCACAACUACUGUCUAAACCGCUCAGACAGUCGUGGUGGGGACUCGACAGACGAGGACGAGGCACAUCCUGGACUGGUCGCCGGUCCAUCGCAGGAAAGACAUCCCCGUCGUAUUUAUACACCCACGGACAAAUUAUACCCUAACUCGCAUGAGGAAGUCGUAAGACGAACCCACACAGGCACGUUUAGAACAUGCACACUCCCUCCAGUGCAGCGCUAUGCACAUUUGAACUGAGGACCUCCAUUCUGUGAGGCAAACCACCGUUCCACCCUGCCAAGUAGGGUUUGGGUAAGAAAAUUGAACCUUUGUUUUUCUUUCCCCAUACUGAAUACAUAUCACGUUACCUCUCCAAAUGUGAGUGAGAAACAACACCCGAUUCUUGAAGCAGUUUUGUCUCCCACCCAAAGGCUUCCUCGUUUCUCUAUGAAUGUAGAUAUACUUGUGUUCCUUGUCACAAUCAGAUCAUGUUGAAACGAUACCCCCCACAUGGUUGAACCCAAGCUAGAAGCUCCUGGUAAAAGAACGUGAGGAUGUAGCAAAAUGAACCGAGAAAGCUAAAAACACAAACUUCCACGCGGCUGGUUGGACGUGUGGGAAGAAGGUAUGAGAUGACAGGAAAGGCCCGAUGACUCAGACAGGAAGUUUCAAGCACCUGAGAAGAUGACAGCUUGACCCCCUGAGUCCGCCUUCACACAGCUGGCCCUCUAAGAGGGUCCGGGGGGGUCCGGCUGAAGGUCCACUAAGCCCCUCACAGUCCAUAUGGCCAGGGGGGCUUACGCACCCCGCGAUGACACGAGAAGGCGAGCCCAGAGGCUGGAAACGCGGCGCGGAGACAUUCAGAGAUGUGCGCUCAUGUGCGACACACUCUAGGAAAGGCCUCAUUUGUGUGAGCCCACGCACAUGUUUGGAUAACCACUUGUCUGGCUGCAAGGCGAGAGCGGGGGAAACUAACUCUACAGGAUGUGUGGCAUGGUGGAAUGUGUGCGUGUGUGUGUGUGUGUGUCAGGGUAAAUAAAGGAAGAGCAAUAAUGACUGUGAGUCAUAUGAUCCGGCUGCACGGUCAUACUAAUGGCAUUAGCCCCAUCGAGAGACCUGCAGGACUCCUCCUGUCCUUCUUGUCGCUGUGUUUCCUCCUCUCCUCUUCUCAGUUUCCUUCUCCUCGGUCCAACACGUCUUCCUCUCCGUCACUCAGCUUGUUUAUUGAUCUGUUUUAGAUUGUUCUAGACACACUGCCGCUGCAACUAUUAGGACUACCCACCUUUUUAAUUAGAUGGAAUCUCAUUACAGACCCAGAGAUACACUAACGCGAUAUCAAUCAUUUUUAUAGCGAUCAACUUGAUGUUCCAAAUUGAAAGAGGAUCAAGUGAAUAUUCUAAGAUACUGAACGUGUGAAGAGCCUGUUGUAAUUAUCCUAAGAAUACAGAUGGGUUUGUUGUUUUUUAAUGUCAGUCAGAUGUUUUGUUACAUGUGGAAAACAGAUUUGAAGUCAUAUGGAUAAUUAAUCAGCUGAAACUAGUGCUGAACACACAUCAAAGGAAUGGUUUCAUUUUGGGAUAUAUGUGUUUUUGGGCUUUUCCUGCUGAAAGAGUUCGGGUUGAAAAUAAAUGAUACCACAUGUGAUCGGUAAAUGUGAAGCUGAUGCGAGCACCCUGCUAGCUUAGCAUGAAAAGCUACCCUGGCUCUGUCCAAAGGCUAACAGAUGUCAACAAUUGUCUACCACAACAACAACAUUAAAGCUCCCUACAGCAAGUCAA
This is a non-coding RNA of Gasterosteus aculeatus aculeatus (three-spined stickleback), 2012 nucleotides long. Lineage: Eukaryota; Metazoa; Chordata; Actinopteri; Perciformes; Gasterosteidae. The record is from RefSeq and is a predicted model, not a curated record.